This 301-nucleotide ribosomal RNA is filed under the name uncultured bacterium. RNAcentral describes it as "partial 16S ribosomal RNA". It matches the Rfam family "Bacterial small subunit ribosomal RNA", at positions 509 to 809 of the family's 1533-position model. The record is from RNAcentral.
CAGUCGCCGCGGUAAUACGAAGGGUGCAAGCGUUACUCGGAAUUACUGGGCGUAAAGCGUGCGUAGGUGGUGGUUUAAGUCCGUUGUGAAAGCCCUGGGCUCAACCUGGGAAUUGCAGUGGAUACUGGGUCACUAGAGUGUGGUAGAGGAUAGUGGAAUUUCCGGUGUAGCAGUGAAAUGCGUAGAGAUCGGAAGGAACAUCUGUGGCGAAGGCGACUAUCUGGGCCAACACUGACACUGAGGCACGAAAGCGUGGGGAGCAAACAGGAUUAGAUACCCCCGUAGUCACUGUCUCUUAUAA